Molecule: small RNA, 365 nt
Filed under: uncultured Entrophospora
Lineage: Eukaryota; Fungi; Glomeromycota; Glomeromycetes; Entrophosporales; Entrophosporaceae
Description: SSU rRNA
Rfam family: Eukaryotic small subunit ribosomal RNA
Source: RNAcentral
AGCAGCCGCGGUAAUUCCAGCUCCAAUAGCGUAUAUUAAAGUUGUUGCAGUUAAAAAGCUCGUAGUUGAAUUUCGGGACCAAUAUGUUGGUCGUGCCUCGGUACGCACUGGCAUUAUUGGUUUCUCCCUUCUGACGAACUACGAUGCCAUUAAUUUGGUGUCGUAGGGAAUCAGGACUGUUACUUUGAAAAAUUAGAGUGUUUAAAGCAGGCUCGCGCUUGAAUACAUUAGCAUGGAAUAAUGAAAUAGGACGUUUGAUUCUAUUUUGUUGGUUUCUAGGAUCGACGUAAUGAUUAAUAGGGAUAGUUGGGGGCAUUAGUAUUCAAUUGUCAGAGGUGAAAUUCUUGGAUUUUAUUGAAGACUAA